RNAcentral lists this ribosomal RNA (792 nucleotides) under uncultured bacterium. RNAcentral describes it as "bacterial SSU rRNA". It matches the Rfam family "Bacterial small subunit ribosomal RNA", at positions 8 to 796 of the family's 1533-position model. The record is from RNAcentral.
AGAGUUUGAUCAUGGCUCAGGAUGAACGCUAGCGGCAGGCCUAAUACAUGCAAGCCGAACGGCAAGUUGAGUAGCAAUACUUGACCUAGAGUGGCGUAAGGGUGCGUAACACGUAUGCAAUCUGCCCACAACAGGAGGAUAGCUCCCCGAAAGGGGAAUUAAUACUCCAUAAGAUCACGAGAGGGCAUCUGAUUGUGAUUAAACUACAAGGGGUUGUGGAUGAGCAUGCGGUUGAUUAGCUAGUUGGUAAGGUAACGGCUUACCAAGGCGAUGAUCAAUAGGGGAACUGAGAGGUUUAUCCCCCACACUGGCACUGAGAUACGGGCCAGACUCCUACGGGAGGCAGCAGUAGGGAAUAUUGGACAAUGGGCGAGAGCCUGAUCCAGCCAUGCCGCGUGCAGGAAGAAGGCCUUCUGGGUUGUAAACUGCUUUUACCAGGGGAUAAAAGACCCGUGCGCGGGGAAUUGAAGGUACCUGGUGAAUAAGCCACGGCUAACUACGUGCCAGCAGCCGCGGUAAUACGUAGGUGGCAAGCGUUGUCCGGAUUUAUUGGGUUUAAGGGGUGCGUAGGCGGCCCUGUAAGUCAGUGGUGAAAUACGGCAGCUCAACUGUCGAGGUGCCAUUGAUACUGCAGGGCUUGAGUACAGACGAGGUAGGCGGAAUUGACGGUGUAGCGGUGAAAUGCUUAGAUAUCGUCAAGAACACCGAUAGCGAAGGCAGCUUACUAGACUGUAACUGACGCUGAGGCACGAAAGUGUGGGGAUCAAACAGGAUUAGAUACCCUAGUAGUCC